AGAAGGGGGGGGGGGGGCGGGCCACCCCCCCUGGCUACGCCCUUGCUAAGUUAUCCUAUGAUAAUGCGAAUAACAAUUUAGCAUCGUUGUUCUAUAUCCCACAAGUACAAAACACUUGGUUAAAGGAAACAGAAAAUCCCGAAUGCCUCCUGACAUUUGCCUAAAAAAAUGUGAUGUUUAGGAACUCAAACCACUUUUAGUAAACUACUCGAUUCUAAUACCAAAAACAUUUUUUCUAAGUCCAACUAGUAUAAUGCAAUUAAAGCUUAUUCCUACUUAAAAAUGAUACUGACUAUAAGUGCCCCACUUAAAUGUAACUUAGAAAUACUAUUUAAUUUAAGUAACAUCUUGUACUUGUCUUGAAUGUAUUUAAAUUCCUUACUUCGUCCAGUAUUAUCUUAUUUUCGUUUGAAACACUCUUGUUUAACAUAAAAUAGCAUUGUUCAAGCUGCCGCCCUUUAUCUGUACUAGAAAAGGAUACCACUUUACACAUUCUGGUGCGCGUCCACCAGUCUCACUUUUUAAUACAAAAAUGACCAGCAUAAAUAUUAUAUAAUUUUUUAUUUCUACCAAAUGUACAAAUGUAUAGUGAAACAUUAUAAUGAUAAUACAACAUGGUUAGGCAUAUUCAGUGUUUGUCAGUUGUAGAUGGUAGAUGGUACUGUCCGAUAAAUCUAGAUUGUUUUGUAAACAUAAACAACAACAUACUGUCGCGAAUGCAAUUUAUAUAACACUUGCUAUUCUUGCUAUAACAACUGAACAAAAUGACUGGUUGACUUUUUCGCUAGGUGUUUCACUAAACAAUUUUUUCGAGGAACGACAUCCUCUAAAAUUCAGAAUAAUCGUUUGAAUAAAUUUUAACAUUGCCUGAAUGAAAAAAAAAAGAAAUAUGUGCUGUUCGUUUAAAUUAAGGUCUCACAACAUGUAUCAAAUUCGCAGAGCUGAGGUUAGGAUCGCUCAGCGGUGAAUUUUAGCGAUUACUUCAACCGAAGAAUGACAUGGGUGACACUAUGUAAUGAUUAGUCGGGAGGACUUCUUUUGACCGGAGUCGUACCUUUAUUCGGAGUCAGUGGUAUGAAGAGUAAUGAGGAAUUAAAGUGCAGUCCCAUUUGUAGUAAAACAAGUAGUACGUUUGAUUGACAAGCAAUGACCACGUGUGCAGGAUGCGGUGAUUGGACGGUACUUGACAAUGCAAACAGUCGCAUCAGAUAUCAUUAACUGUCGGCAAAAUUAACGAUAACAAAGGAAAGCUUUGAAAAGAAUUUAAGGAUACAAAACGAAUGUCCUUUGCCAUGAAACUAAGGGAGUCGGUAGGAAAGGCAGAAAGGUAACUUUGGAGGAACAAAUAUGUAACUUGUAAUCGAAAGUUAACGAACGUAAGGGGAAAAGAAGUGGUCGCUCAAGUAGCAUGGGUGUGGUGUUGGGUGACUUGGAUUAGCAUAAGAAAUCAGAUUACCAACACUGCAGAGCUAAGCACCUCCUACUUGAGUGUGGGCGAUCCUACGUGUUGUGCUAAUGAUACCGGCAAUUAGCGUACGACAUCUAAAGGUAACUAUAUAAACAGAAGACUUGUAAGUUUACCAACUUAAUGAGAAGUUGAAGAUUGAUAAGUACCCAAAACAUGGUACGACCCGAUAAAAGUCAUUAUGUCGCUAAUUAAGCGAACAACUUCCUAUUCAAUCUAAAUCAACAAAAACUAACAAUGCCUCAAGAAUGCUCUCCCUUGAACAACCCUUUUAGCUAGAGCAAAUAUCUUAACUUUGUCUAUUUGCUUACUACAAUUAGCAAAAUACGGAUUCAUUCUAACAUAACCUGACAUAACAACUGGAAAGACAGUGAUUAUAGGAUUGCUCGUUCUUAAGAAAAAGAGGCGGAGGAUUUUGUAAAUUCAGGGGUGAUAAACAAAAUGGAAAUCAAUCCUAUAAAACCCAUCACUGUCUUUCCAGGUCAACCAUGUUUGGUGGUCCGCAAAGUCCGGGAAUCCAAUAAUCCCGCCUUGUCUCACUACUCUCUCAUCGGCCUCAUGCGGCACGUAUCUUGUGAGGGUGCCGCCAUGCUCUAAUGAGCGAAGAGUGAUGCUAGAAACAAACGAAACACGUCAAUCAUUGUUUGGAAAUAUUAUCGCUCACCUCAGGGUGUCGAAGGUGACAGAAGGCAUGGCGCGCCCUUGUAACAUGGCAACCUGCAGAAAGAGGCUUACCAUACCGGCCGUGGCCUGACUAUAGUCCUUGCAUACAAGUCCCCGCACAGAUAUUUCUCCAAACGUCUGUGGGGGACUCUGGAACUUUCUUGGGUUAUCCAUGUCUUCAACUGUCCAUUGAAGACAGUGGACAAAAGAGUGGUCCAAUCUUACGCCAGCAGAUACCUAUCCAACCAAUUUAAGUGUUAGUACUGGAUAUGGAAAUGUAAAUUGCACUAAUCAAAUGCUGUUUAAAUAAAUUGGUUAACUGUA
Molecule: long non-coding RNA, 2452 nt
Organism: Nematostella vectensis (starlet sea anemone)
Lineage: Eukaryota; Metazoa; Cnidaria; Anthozoa; Actiniaria; Edwardsiidae
Exons: 2
Source: RefSeq, a predicted model, not a curated record